RNAcentral lists this microRNA (21 nucleotides) under Monodelphis domestica (gray short-tailed opossum). RNAcentral's name for it is "mdo-miR-7398t-3p". The record is from miRBase by way of RNAcentral. Lineage: Eukaryota; Metazoa; Chordata; Mammalia; Didelphimorphia; Didelphidae.
AAUUUAUCCACCUCUCACAAU